Molecule: ribosomal RNA, 253 nt
Filed under: uncultured bacterium
Lineage: Bacteria
Description: partial 16S ribosomal RNA
Rfam family: Bacterial small subunit ribosomal RNA
Source: RNAcentral
UACGUGAGGGGCGAACGUUGUUCGGUGUCACUGGGCUUAAAGGGCGCGUAGGUGGUUGCGUAAGUAACGUGUGAAAGCCCUCGGCUUACCCGGGGAAUUGCGCGUUAUACUGCGUGGCUUGAGGAUUUCAGGGGAAAGGGGAACUCCAGGUGUAGCGGUGAAAUGCGCAGAUAUCUGGGGGAAGGCCGGCGGCGAAGGCGCCUUUCUGGGAAAUUCCUGACACUGAGGCGCGAAAGCGUGGGGAGCAAACAGG